UUGCCUUAGUAACGGCGAGUGAAGCGGCAAUAGCUCAAAUUUGAAAUCUGGCUCUUUUAGAGUCCGAGUUGUAAUUUGCAGAGGGCGCUUUGGCAUUGGCAGCGGUCCAAGUUCCUUGGAACAGGACGUCACAGAGGGUGAGAAUCCCGUACGUGGUCGCUAGCCUUUGCCGUGUAAAGCCCCUUCGACGAGUCGAGUUGUUUGGGAAUGCAGCUCUAAAUGGGAGGUAAAUUUCUUCUAAAGCUAAAUACUGGCCAGAGACCGAUAGCGCACAAGUAGAGUGAUCGAAAGAUGAAAAGCACUUUGGAAAGAGAGUCAAAUAGCACGUGAAAUUGUUGAAAGGGAAGCGCUUGCAGCCAGACUUGCCUGUAGUUGCUUAUCUGGACUUUUGUCCAGUGCACUCUUCUGCGGGCAGGCCAGCAUCAGUUUGGGCGGUUGGAUAAAGGUCUCUGUCAUGUACCUCUCUUCGGGGAGGCCUUAUAGGGGAGACGACAUGCAACCAGCCUGGACUGAGGUCCGCGCAUCUGCUAGGAUGCUGGCGUAAUGGCUGUAAGCGGCCCGUCUUGAAACACGGACCAAGGAGUCUAACAUCUAUGCGAGUGUUUGGGUGUCAAGCCCAGACGCGUAAUGAAAGUGAACGGAGGUGGGAACCCUUUGGGUGCACCAUCGACCGAUCCUGAUGUCUUCGGAAGGAUUUGAGUAAGAGCAUGGCUGUUGGGACCCGAAAGAUGGUGAACUAUGCUUGAAUAGGGUGAAGCCAGAGGAAACUCUGGUGGAGGCUCGCAGCGGUUCUGACGUGCAAAUCGAUCGUCAAAUUUGGGCAUAGGGGCGAAAGACUAAUCGAACUAUCUAGUAGCUGGUUCCUGCCGA
This 870-nucleotide ribosomal RNA is filed under the name Leptosphaeria rusci. RNAcentral describes it as "LSU rRNA". It matches the Rfam family "Eukaryotic large subunit ribosomal RNA", at positions 75 to 964 of the family's 3401-position model. The record is from RNAcentral. Lineage: Eukaryota; Fungi; Ascomycota; Dothideomycetes; Pleosporales; Leptosphaeriaceae.